Molecule: transfer RNA, 76 nt
Filed under: Microcaldota archaeon
Lineage: Archaea; Nanobdellati; Microcaldota
Description: tRNA-Ile
Rfam family: tRNA
About the family: Transfer RNA (tRNA) molecules are approximately 80 nucleotides in length. Their secondary structure includes four short double-helical elements and three loops (D, anti-codon, and T loops). Further hydrogen bonds mediate the characteristic L-shaped molecular structure. tRNAs have two regions of fundamental functional importance: the anti-codon, which is responsible for specific mRNA codon recognition, and the 3' end, to which the tRNAs corresponding amino acid is attached (by aminoacyl-tRNA synthetases). tRNAs cope with the degeneracy of the genetic code in two manners: having more than one tRNA (with a specific anti-codon) for a particular amino acid; and 'wobble' base-pairing, i.e. permitting non-standard base-pairing at the 3rd anti-codon position.
Source: RNAcentral
GGGCUCGUAGCUUAGCCUGGUUAGUAGCACCCGACUGAUAAUCGGGAGGUCAGGAGUUCAAAUCUCCUCGGGCCCA